CGAAAGCCUGACGGAGCAAUACCGCGUGAGGGAGGACGGCUUUUGGGUUGUAAACCUCUUUUAUCAGGGAAGAAUCGAUGACGGUACCUGAUGAAUCAGCAUCGGCUAACUCCGUGCCAGCAGCCGCGGUAAUACGGAGGAUGCAAGCGUUAUCCGGAAUUAUUGGGCGUAAAGCGUCCGUAGGUGGUUUAUCAAGUCUGCUGUCAAAGCGUGCGGCUUAACCGCAUAAGGGCAGUGGAAACUGAUGAACUAGAGUGCGAUAGGGGUAACAGGAAUUCCCAGUGUAGCGGUGAAAUGCGUAGAUAUUGGGAAG
RNAcentral lists this ribosomal RNA (313 nucleotides) under uncultured cyanobacterium. Its description in RNAcentral is "bacterial SSU rRNA". It matches the Rfam family "Bacterial small subunit ribosomal RNA", at positions 376 to 704 of the family's 1533-position model. The record is from RNAcentral. Lineage: Bacteria; Bacillati; Cyanobacteriota.